UACAGAGGUCUCAAGCGUUGUUCGGAUCCAUUGGGCGUAAAGGGUGCGUAGGCGGCGCGGUAAGUCGGGUGUGAAAUCUCGGAGCUUAACUCCGAAACUGCAUUCGAUACUGCCGUGCUUGAGGACUGGAGAGGAGACUGGAAUUUACGGUGUAGCGGUGAAAUGCGUAGAUAUCGUAAGGAAGACCAGUGGCGAAGGCGGGUCUCUGGACAGUUCCUGACGCUGAGGCACGAAGGUCAGGGGAGCAAACGGG
Molecule: ribosomal RNA, 253 nt
Filed under: uncultured bacterium
Lineage: Bacteria
Description: partial 16S ribosomal RNA
Rfam family: Bacterial small subunit ribosomal RNA
Source: RNAcentral